AACGUAGGAGACAAACGUUAUCCGGAGUUACUGGGCGUAAAGGGCGUGUAGGUGGUUUUGUAAGUCUGGCGUGAAAUUUUUCGGCUUAACCGGGAAAGGUCGUCGGAUACUGCAAGGCUAGAGGACGGUAGAGGCGUGUGGAAUUCCGGGUGUAGUGGUGAAAUGCGUAGAGAUCCGGAGGAACACCAGUGGCGAAGGCGACACGCUGGGCCGUACCUGACACUGAUGCGCGACAGCAUGGGUAGCAAACAGG
RNAcentral lists this ribosomal RNA (253 nucleotides) under uncultured bacterium. Its description in RNAcentral is "partial 16S ribosomal RNA". It matches the Rfam family "Bacterial small subunit ribosomal RNA", at positions 524 to 776 of the family's 1533-position model. The record is from RNAcentral.